Molecule: long non-coding RNA, 463 nt
Organism: Erinaceus europaeus (western European hedgehog)
Lineage: Eukaryota; Metazoa; Chordata; Mammalia; Eulipotyphla; Erinaceidae
Exons: 3
Source: RefSeq, a predicted model, not a curated record
GGGCUGGGACCUCACAUAUGCAUAAUUUCACUGCUUAAGCUACCAAGUUUGUGGGGUCUCCAGGAGGUGAGACCAUGGAAUAAAUGGGAUCGAAUUGUCUCUCCUCCCAAAACAACAAAUAAUUUCGACAAGAAACCCAACUCAAGUCAUAAUCUACAGAUGAAAGAUCUGCAGCCUCAGGUUCCAGAUGCUAGCAGGAUGCCAAUCAGACUUCCCUGGACAGACAACUCUACAAAUGUGUCCUGGAGCUUGAUUCCCCAGAGCCCCUGCCCCACUAGGGAAAGACAGAGGCAGGCUGGGAGUAUGGAUCGACCUGUCAAUGCCCAUGUUCAGCAGGGAAGCAAUUACAGAAGCCAGACCUUACACCUUCUGCACCCUAUAAUGAUCCUGGGUCCAUACUCCCACAGGGCUAAAGAAUAGGAAAGCUAUCAAGGGAGGGGAGGGGAUAUGGAGUUCUGGUGGU